GCGGAUUUAGCUCAGUUGGGAGAGCGCCAGACUGAAGUUGCCUGAUGGUACUGUAAUCUGGAGGUCCUGUGUUCGAUCCACAGAAUUCGCA
This 91-nucleotide transfer RNA is filed under the name Eremothecium cymbalariae DBVPG#7215. It matches the Rfam family "tRNA". Rfam says of the family: Transfer RNA (tRNA) molecules are approximately 80 nucleotides in length. The record is from Rfam by way of RNAcentral. Lineage: Eukaryota; Fungi; Ascomycota; Saccharomycetes; Saccharomycetales; Saccharomycetaceae.